RNAcentral lists this ribosomal RNA (321 nucleotides) under Entomoneis paludosa. Its description in RNAcentral is "Amphiprora paludosa partial Eukaryotic large subunit ribosomal RNA". It matches the Rfam family "Eukaryotic large subunit ribosomal RNA", at positions 369 to 671 of the family's 3401-position model. The record is from RNAcentral. Lineage: Eukaryota; Bacillariophyta; Bacillariophyceae; Surirellales; Surirellaceae.
AAGCACUUUGGAAAGAGAGUUAAACAGUACGUGAAAUUGUUGAAAGGGAAACGCUUGAAGUCAGUCGCGUCUUGCGGAACUCAGCCUUACUUCGGUUUGGUGUACUUUCUGUUUGACGGGUCAACAUCAAUUUUGAUCGGUAGAAAAAGCUUGAGGAAAUGUAGCGUUGUUUCGGCGACGUGUUAUAGUCUUCUUGCGUAUAUAUCGGUUGGGAUUGAGGACCGCAGCACGCCUUUAAUGGCCGGGGGUUCGCCCUACGUAUCGUGCUUAGGAUGUUGGCAUAAUGGCUUUAAGCGACCCGUCUUGUAACACGGACCAAGG